This 591-nucleotide long non-coding RNA is filed under the name Fukomys damarensis (Damara mole-rat). Its description in RNAcentral is "lncRNA (ENSFDAG00000025674.1)". The record is from RNAcentral. Lineage: Eukaryota; Metazoa; Chordata; Mammalia; Rodentia; Bathyergidae.
GAGACAUUCAGUCCACUCAUCUCCCCAAGGCCAGGGCAGGGCUUCACACAGAGUUAACUUCAGUUAUGAUGGCUGCAUGAAGGUCUGUGGAUCAGUGGAUCACACAGGAGGACCUGGAGUCCUGAGCAGCCUUGGAGGUGACUCCAAGACAAGGACGUGAGAGACAGACCUGACCUGAAGGAUGGGUGUCCACCACGCCAAGCAAGGGGGCCGUGUUGGUGCAGGGAGAAGCCCUGAGUGUGUGCAAGGCCUUGACUGGGGGAGGACCCGUAAGGAGGCUGGAGAGAGGAUGGGGUUGAAGCUGCCACCCAGGGGACGGAAGGGAAUUAACCGGAAGACUGAAAUGGAGAUGGCUGCCCAAGGCAACAGAGGAGAAACGAAGAGGGGAUGGGUACAGAGGAGCAGCAACAGAGGAGAAAAGACUACACGGAAAGCAGCAGGCAUCUGACAGGGAAAAUACAAGUGGGGGUGUUUUCAUCGCAGUAAGAUGUAUCACCAUUAAUCCCCCUUAAAGUAAACCCCCUUUGCUUCAAAUACACUGACUCCACCAUUUUGCCUCUUUCUGAAACAGUUCUGGAAGUCCUCUUCCGA